CCCUUAGAUGUUCUGGGCCGCGCGCGCGCUACACUGUUCGACGCAGCGAGUCUUAACCUUGACCGAAAGGUUUGGGUAAUCUUCAGCAAAGUCGAACGUGAUGGGGAUCGAUCAUUGCAAUUAUUGAUCGUGAACGAGGAAUUCCUAGUAAGUGCAAGUCAUCAGCUUGCGCUGAUUACGUCCCUGCCCUUUGUACACACCGCCCGUCGCUACUACCGAUUGAAUGGUUUAGUGAGAUCUCUGGAUUGACGCUGGCUAGGGGGCGACCCUUGGCCAGACUGCUCGAGAAACUGCUCAAACUUGAUCAUUUAGAGGAAGUAAAAGUCGUAACA
Molecule: ribosomal RNA, 332 nt
Filed under: uncultured eukaryote
Lineage: Eukaryota
Description: partial 18S ribosomal RNA
Rfam family: Eukaryotic small subunit ribosomal RNA
Source: RNAcentral